UGAUCCCGGACUCCAGGAUCACGCCCUGGGCUGAAGGCAGGUACUAAACCGCUGAGCCACCUGGGGAUCCCCCUGCUUUUCUUUUUCAUCUUAGAACUUAGCACUAGCUGAUGUUGCUUUGUGUAUUUAUUUAUUGGAUUCUUUGGUUCUACUUUUUAUUUAUUAGAUUACCUAGGAUGCAAGUCCAGGAGGGCAGGGAGUUUGUCUGCCUUGUUCACUUGAGAACGGUGCCUGGCGAUUAGCAGGUGCUGUUAUAAUCCCAGCUAGCAAGUGGGCAUAGGCAGCCUGUGGGGUGAGCUGAGCCCUUCACCCCUGGGACAUGCUGUCCUCUGGGUACCGUGAGGCAGACUGGAAAAGUGCUACAGCAGACAGCUGACACCCUGGAGCGACGCGGGACCAGUGUGGAUUAAGAAGCACAAACCGAAUUGUGGAAGGAAAAGGUGAUAUCAUCAUCACAUUUGAAGGUCUCUGGGAAAACGUGAGCUACAACGGCAGGCUGAGGAGAAUGUCUGGGUCAGAGCCUGGCUUUUGGAGGAUCCUGCUGUGCGUGCAGGGACCAGCAGGCUCCCGUGGGCGUAAUCUCCUCACAGCACCAGCAGAGGUGCAGGCGAUGAGCCCACUCACAAGAGCAUCUUUCAAGCCUUGGUUUGCCCUUGUCAGCUGAUAUUCUCCUGUUCAAACAAGAGCUGAGUCAGGUGGGCUGAAGCGCUGACCACACAGCAGCCGCUCUGAGUGUCAAGACCGGAUUCCCAUGCAGGGUGCAUCUUCCUCAGUGAAGCAUUUCAGACAUUGGCGCCCAGAGGAGUGCAUGCCCCCGGAGUCACUGUUCAAUAUGGCUGAGAAGUCACAUGGUUGGGGACGCCUGGGUGGUUCAGUGAUUGAGCGUCUGCCUUUGGCUCAGGGCGUCAUCCCGGGGUCCUGGGAUCGAGUCCUGCAUUGGGCUCCCCGCAGAGAGCCUGCUUCUCCCUUUGCCUGUGUCUCUGCCUCUCUCAAGAAUCAAUAAAUAAAAUCUUAAAAAAAAAAAAAAAGAAGUCACACGGUUCAAGUGGUUUCAAACUAGUGGCAGCCCCAGAUUCAAGCUUGCCCUUGAGAGUCCUGGCAAGAGACUCUGACGUCAUAGCACAUUCCUGACGUCAUAGCACACAGACACCCUCGGGCUGGCUCUGAGGGGAUGGGGGCAGCGAUAACCUCACUUCUUCUCUUCUGCGCUGCAGGGAAGCUCCUCUGUGACCUGAUAGAGGCCCCUCCUACCACCUCGUCACUGUCACAUGGAGCUGAGAAAGGAAAGCCCAUGUCCUGGGGCCACCUGCUCUGUGAGCACGGUUUGUGCUCAUUUGUGACCUGGAGGCAGCGGGGAUAACAUGGACAUGUCCACCCAGGCCUUUAUUCCAGAGUCUCUUUGUCUUCUUGUGGGGAGGUGACAGUCCCUUUGAAAAUGGAAUGGAAGCUAUUGGACCUUCACCCCCUCACAAUACACGCAGACAUGUCAUCUUUUGGGUACCAUUUCAAGCAGCUUGUACCCUCCCUGAAGACUACUUAUUUUUAUUUUUCUGUAGAUUUUAUUUAUUUAUUUGAGAGAGAGAGAGAGCAUGAGAAAGAGAGAGCGACCACAAACAAGGAGGAGGGGUAGAGGGAAGGCCACACUCCCCACUGAGCAGGGAUCCUGAUGUGGGACUCGAUCCCAGAACCCUAGGAUCAUGACCUGAGCCGAAGGCAGAUGCUUCAUCGAUGGAGCCACCCACCACCCCUGAAGACCAUUUAUAUAUGAGAAGUGAAGAGCCCCAUCCAGGGGCACAUCAGAGGACAGGGGCCACUUGAGCUCCCAUCAGACAAGGCCAGAUGAUUCCAGCAUCAUAAUGGACACUGCCAGUAAUGGAUCAUAACCCCAUCAUGAGGAUGUGAAUCCGGAGUCCACACUGACAAUGAAUUAGCAGAUGGAUCAAUGAACAAACAGAGGAGAAGAGAAAGUCUUUAGAGUGGAACAGCAGCUAACAAAUGUGGACGGAGUGAUAGGUCAGAAAAUUGCAAUUUUGCAAUCAUCUGAGCAGCAAGUGAUUUGGGCAAGAAUAGGGUCCUACUCAUGGAUGGAUGUGAAGACCGUCUGGUGAAAGUUGAUUUUUUAUGUAUUUAUUUUUAUUUAUUCAUGAAAGACAGAGAGGCAGAGACACAGGCAGGGGGAGAAGCAGGUUACCCACAGGGAGCCUGAUGUGGGACUCGAUCUCAGGACCCCAGGAUCACACCCUGAGCCGAAGGCAGAGCUCAACCAUUGAGCCACCCAGGUGCCCCUGGGAGAAAGUUAAAUGAAGAACAUGUUAUUUAGAGUGUCUCAAAGUGUCUUUUCAUGGGUGACUUGUGACAUUCCAAGGGGCGAAUGGAGCAGCCUGGAGCCCACCACCCCUACCAAGCAAUCCGAGUCAACAGUGCCAUUGCUGGGACCGGUGACAGCCUGUGUCUCCUGACAGCACGCACGAAGGACACAGCCUCAGUUCUGCAGCUGCCCUCAAGAUGCCGGAGCCAUGAAGAAAAAGGAAGCACUGAAGAAUCGUCCAGAAUAAAGGAGCCUCAAGAAGACCUACUGCUAAAUGCACUGGUAGAUCUUAUUUUGAAAUGAAAUGCUAUGAGGAACGUGACGGGGGUGGCUGGAAAAAUCUGAGAAAGAAUCAUGCAUUAAGUGAUAAUGUUUCAAUGGUCAACUUUUAGAACUUCUUAAUUGUGCUGCGGUAAACCUCAUUAAAAACCCUAUGCAUUCCUAAAAAUAAUCGUGUGGUGGCAACGUGAGCAAAACAUUCUUGUUAUUAAAACAUACCUGCCGGGGGCGCCUGGUUGAGCAUCUGCCUUUGGCUUAGGUGGUGAUCCCAGGUCUGGGUUCGAGAUCCGUAUUGGGCUCCUCGCAGGGAGCCUGCUUCUCCCUCUGCCUUGUGUCUCUGCCUCUCUCUG
Canis lupus familiaris (dog) is the source of this 2937-nucleotide long non-coding RNA. RefSeq lists it as uncharacterized. The record is from RefSeq and is a predicted model, not a curated record. The transcript is spliced from 5 exons. Lineage: Eukaryota; Metazoa; Chordata; Mammalia; Carnivora; Canidae.